AGCAGAAGAAGGCGUUGAUGUUGCUGACAGAAGAUAGAGAGCACAUGCACUCACAUGCAGAGAGACUGCUUUUGAGUUGUAUGUGCUCUCUAUGCUUCUGUCCGCAUUGGUUUUUGUGAUNUUUUCUGUU
RNAcentral lists this microRNA precursor (130 nucleotides) under Picea abies (Norway spruce). RNAcentral describes it as "miR156z stem-loop (pab-MIR156z)". Its record names the gene pab-MIR156z. Lineage: Eukaryota; Viridiplantae; Streptophyta; Pinopsida; Pinales; Pinaceae. The record is from miRBase by way of RNAcentral.